GAGAGCUGGGUCUUUGCGGGCAAGAUGAGGGUGUCAGUUCAACUGGCCUACAAAGUCCCAGUCCUC
Molecule: microRNA precursor, 66 nt
Organism: Cricetulus griseus (Chinese hamster)
Lineage: Eukaryota; Metazoa; Chordata; Mammalia; Rodentia; Cricetidae
Gene: Mir193a
Product: microRNA 193a
Source: Ensembl